Molecule: ribosomal RNA, 489 nt
Filed under: uncultured bacterium
Lineage: Bacteria
Description: partial 16S ribosomal RNA
Rfam family: Bacterial small subunit ribosomal RNA
Source: RNAcentral
UUGAACGCUGGCGGCAGGCCUAACACAUGCAAGUCGAACGGUAACAGAAAGCAGCUUGCUGCUUUGCUGACGAGUGGCGGACGGGUGAGUAAUGUCUGGGAAACUGCCUGAUGGAGGGGGAUAACUACUGGAAACGGUAGCUAAUACCGCAUAACGUCGCAAGACCAAAGAGGGGGACCUUCGGGCCUCUUGCCAUCGGAUGUGCCCAGAUGGGAUUAGCUAGUAGGUGGGGUAAAGGCUCACCUAGGCGACGAUCCCUAGCUGGUCUGAGAGGAUGACCAGCCACACUGGAACUGAGACACGGUCCAGACUCCUACGGGAGGCAGCAGUGGGGAAUAUUGCACAAUGGGCGCAAGCCUGAUGCAGCCAUGCCGCGUGUAUGAAGAAGGCCUUCGGGUUGUAAAGUACUUUCAGCGGGGAGGAAGGGAGUAAAGUUAAUACCUUUGCUCAUUGACGUUACCCGCAGAAGAAGCACCGGCUAACUCCGUG